AAUAAUUAAUGCCCUUAUUAUAAAAAUGGAGAUCCUAAAUGAUUGAUUAUGUUAGUGAAGAGUUGACUAAGCCACUGAAAUGCUCCAUCCAAAUGGGACAAGUAAACUUGCUGUCAGCCAUUUUAAUCACAACUAGUCAUUUCUUUAGGAAACACUGUGUGCCUGCAACCCUCUUAUCUGUCUAUGAGCUGGUGUCUGGUGCGUGCCGGUUUAUACUUGAGAAAAAAACUGCAUUAGAUCUAGCUAGCCCCUUCAAUCAUGCCUUUGCACACGCUGCAAUGAACUGAGAGAAGUCAAUGGCCAGCUUUCAUAUUAUUCCCUUUUGUGCC
RNAcentral lists this long non-coding RNA (329 nucleotides) under Theobroma cacao (cacao). RNAcentral's name for it is "long non-coding RNA (TCAC_LNC002699)". The record is from RNAcentral. Lineage: Eukaryota; Viridiplantae; Streptophyta; Magnoliopsida; Malvales; Malvaceae.